RNAcentral lists this ribosomal RNA (526 nucleotides) under uncultured bacterium. RNAcentral's name for it is "bacterial SSU rRNA". It matches the Rfam family "Bacterial small subunit ribosomal RNA", at positions 59 to 580 of the family's 1533-position model. The record is from RNAcentral.
AAGUCGAACGGUAACGCGGGGGCAACCCUGGCGACGAGUGGCGAACGGGUGAGUAAUACAUCGGAACGUGUCCUGGAGUGGGGGAUAGCUCGGCGAAAGCCGGAUUAAUACCGCAUACGCUCUGAGGAGGAAAGCGGGGGACCUUCGGGCCUCGCGCUGCAGGAGCGGCCGAUGUCGGAUUAGCUAGUUGGUGGGGUAAAGGCCUACCAAGGCGACGAUCCGUAGCUGGUCUGAGAGGAUGAUCAGCCACACUGGGACUGAGACACGGCCCAGACUCCUACGGGAGGCAGCAGUGGGGAAUUUUGGACAAUGGGGGCAACCCUGAUCCAGCCAUGCCGCGUGAGUGAAGAAGGCCUUCGGGUUGUAAAGCUCUUUCGGACGGAACGAAAAGGUUAGCGUGAAUAACGCUGACUAAUGACGGUACCGUAAGAAGAAGCACCGGCUAACUACGUGCCAGCAGCCGCGGUAAUACGUAGGGUGCGAGCGUUAAUCGGAAUUACUGGGCGUAAAGCGUGCGCAGGCGGUU